Molecule: ribosomal RNA, 466 nt
Filed under: uncultured bacterium
Lineage: Bacteria
Description: partial 16S ribosomal RNA
Rfam family: Bacterial small subunit ribosomal RNA
Source: RNAcentral
GAUGAACGCUGGCGGCGUGCCUAACACAUGCAAGUCGAACGAUGAAGCCCAGCUUGCUGGCUGGUUUGGUGGGGAACGGGCGGGUAAGUCGUGAGUAACUUGCCCUCAACUUUGGGGUAGGCCAGGGAAACUGGGGAUAAUACCGAAUACGAGAGCCUACCUCAGGGUGGGUGUUGGAAAGAUUUGUGGGUUUUGGAUGGACGCGCGGCAAAUUAGGUUGUGGGAGAUGGAAGGGCACACCACGGCGAAGACGGGUAGCCGUCCUGAGACGGUGACCGGGCACACUGGGACUGAGGAACGGCCCAGAGGGCAACGUGGGGCAGCGGUGGGGAAUAUUGCACACUGGGCGAAAGCCUGAUGCAGCGACGCCGGGUGGGGGAUGACGGCCUUCGGGUUAUAAACCGCUUUCGGUUGGGAAGAAGCGAAUGUGACGGUACCUGAAGAAGAAGCACCGGCUAACUACGUG